Molecule: ribosomal RNA, 376 nt
Filed under: uncultured bacterium
Lineage: Bacteria
Description: bacterial SSU rRNA
Rfam family: Bacterial small subunit ribosomal RNA
Source: RNAcentral
CGGUAAUACGGAGGAUCCAAGCGUUAUCCGGAAUCAUUGGGUUUAAAGGGUCCGUAGGCGGUCAGAUAAGUCAGUGGUGAAAGCCCAUCGCUCAACGGUGGAACGGCCAUUGAUACUGUCUGACUUGAAUUAUUAGGAAGUAACUAGAAUAUGUAGUGUAGCGGUGAAAUGCUUAGAGAUUACAUGGAAUACCAAUUGCGAAGGCAGGUUACUACUAAUGGAUUGACGCUGAUGGACGAAAGCGUGGGUAGCGAACAGGAUUAGAUACCCUGGUAGUCCACGCCGUAAACGAUGGAUACUAGCUGUUGGGAGCAAUCUCAGUGGCUAAGCGAAAGUGAUAAGUAUCCCACCUGGGGAGUACGAACGCAAGUUUGAA